This 243-nucleotide ribosomal RNA is filed under the name uncultured bacterium. Its description in RNAcentral is "partial 16S ribosomal RNA". It matches the Rfam family "Bacterial small subunit ribosomal RNA", at positions 534 to 776 of the family's 1533-position model. The record is from RNAcentral.
GCAAGCGUUGUUCGGAAUUACUGGGCGUAAAGGGCGCGUAGGCGGCCUUCUAAGUCGGACGUGAAAUCCCUCGGCUUAACCGAGGAACUGCGUCCGAUACUGAAAGGCUUGAAUCCGGGAGAGGGAUGUGGAAUUCCAGGUGUAGCGGUGAAAUGCGUAGAUAUCUGGAGGAACACCGGUGGCGAAGGCGGCAUCCUGGACCGGUAUUGACGCUGAGGCGCGAAAGCUAGGGGAGCAAACGGG